Cyprinus carpio carpio is the source of this 737-nucleotide long non-coding RNA. The record is from Ensembl. Lineage: Eukaryota; Metazoa; Chordata; Actinopteri; Cypriniformes; Cyprinidae.
AGCUGGCCCGCUUUGGCCAUAGGUUUUCGUCGGGCCAAAAAACCCUGGCCGUUGGCCCCGAGGAAGCCCAGACGAGGCACGAUCAAGCCCCGGAAGUGACAGUGGAAACGCGACUGGCCCUGGCACGCACUAGACUGUGUGACCAUUUUUCAAAGCAGAUGCAGAUACGACAGAAUCCAAAUGAAUCACUCUGUUCUGAUCGGCAGCUCAACUUCAUUUAGUUAGUUUUUAGUUUCAAUAUGAAUAUCACAGCAUGGUUGGAGUGCUUCAUUUUUGAGCAAAUUCUGCCACCCAUUUUUGCAAUGCAAGUAGAUGUACAUGUCCUCUGGGUGGCAGCAUGUUUAGAACGUGGAGUCUCCCAAGCCUCCAAGGGAAAACUGACACACAUGGAUCCAAUAUAGGCAAACCUUAGUAGAAGUAGACGACAUGGAGCCAUCCUUCGUUCAGAGGAGGAAGUUAGUGGUGUUCAUGUCUGCUACUGUUUUUCAUUUGCAGUCACAAAACUUCUGAACGACUUCCAAUCAACUUCCCCCUUCACAAAUGCAAAGGUGUACCUCCAGCCAAUGUGAUUUGUAAAGAUUGUCAGAUUGUAACUGAUGUCUGAUUAUACAAAGCUAUUACUCUUUCAUUUUGUCUUUCAGAAUUAGAGAUAUUACUUAUUUUGCCUUCCUUCGGUAAAUGAGAAUGUUCGGCCCGUUAGCAGAUUUUGACUUUACCUAAAACAUUUUCACUAGCAC